Molecule: non-coding RNA, 101 nt
Organism: Lasiosphaeria hispida
Lineage: Eukaryota; Fungi; Ascomycota; Sordariomycetes; Sordariales; Lasiosphaeriaceae
Source: the annotation of a GenBank genome assembly
GGCAAUUUGGCCGAGCGGUCUAAGGCGCCGUCUUCAGGUACUCCUGACGGAACUCUGAUUGGCGGUCCGAAAGGGCGUGGGUUCGAAUCCCACAGUUGUCA